GGAAAAGAAACCAACAGGGAUUGCCUCAGUAACGGCGAGUGAAGCGGCAAAAGCUCAAAUUUGAAAUCUAGCACCUUCGGUGUUUGAGUUGUAAUUUGAAGAUGGUAACCUUGGGUUUGGCUCUUGUCUAUGUUCCUUGGAACAGGACGUCAUAGAGGGUGAGAAUCCCGUCUGAUGAGAUGCCCAUUCCUAUGUAAGGUGCUAUCGAAGAGUCGAGUUGUUUGGGAAUGCAGCUCUAAGUGGGUGGUAAAUUCCAUCUAAAGCUAAAUAUUGGCGAGAGACCGAUAGCGAACAAGUACAGUGAUGGAAAGAUGAAAAGAACUUUGAAAAGAGAGUGAAAAAGUACGUGAAAUUGUUGAAAGGGAAGGGCAUUAGAUCAGACUUGGUGUUUUACGAUUAUCUUCUCUUCUUGAGUUGUGCACUCGUAUUUCACUGGGCCAGCAUCGAUUCGGAUGGCAAGAUAAUGGCAGUUGAAUGUGGCUUCACUUCGGUGGAGUGUUAUAGCUUCUGCUGAUAUUGCCUGUCUGGAUCGAGGGCUGCGUCUUUUGACUAGGAUGCUGGCGUAAUGAUCUAAUGCCGCCCGUCUUGAACCACGGACCAAAAAUUU
RNAcentral lists this ribosomal RNA (607 nucleotides) under Hansenula anomala. RNAcentral describes it as "Wickerhamomyces anomalus partial large subunit ribosomal RNA". It matches the Rfam family "Eukaryotic large subunit ribosomal RNA", at positions 55 to 675 of the family's 3401-position model. The record is from RNAcentral. Lineage: Eukaryota; Fungi; Ascomycota; Saccharomycetes; Phaffomycetales; Wickerhamomycetaceae.